UUUUGUUGUUUUUCUUGUCUUUUUUCUUGUUCUGUGAAUGUUCAAACACAAUUAAUUUUUUUUAUCUAAACUCAAACUGCAUCUACUGUUUACAGUUUACGGCUUUCAGAACAAUCUGGCUCCCACCUCCAGCAGCGUGCUCACCACCAGCGGAGCUAACGUACAUGCUAACGUAGGAGGUACGACAGCAUGCUCGCUGACAUAAUUCCACUAAAUCUCGACACAUUUAGACAUUUUUCCACUGAGUGUUUAUUUGUCUGUAUUUACAGGUUACGGCGUUCAGAAGAACGUGUCAAACGGAGUUGGUGUCAUCAGCACUGGAGUCUCUACAAGUAAGUCCACACAGGAUUCCCUGCAGUCACUGUCUGAACAUUUUCUCAAACUUAAAUGAUUCCUGACUGUUUCUUUUGUUGCCAUCAGCCACUAGAUCCCAAACUGUCGACGACGCUUAUAAGAAAGACUAUAAGUUCCUGAUCUCUGAGAAGGAGAACGUGCCGGCCAGGAGGGACGCAGAGAUGCUCAUUUUGGCUAAAGACAGCGGGAAGCAGUUCACCAGCAGCAGCAGCGUUCAUAUAGGAGGAGGGUCGCUAUCGGGAGAUUCGAUAAAGAAAGAGAAGCUCAUUUCAAGUUACACGGAGACGAUGCCACUGAAGUCAGAGACGGGCAACUCUUACUGUGAGUGCACGCUUUAAAACACCUCUAAGAAUAAAAAACAAAGUAUUGUGAUUUUUUGAAUGACUUCUGUUUAUUUAUCCCUUCAAUAGAUGGAUCAUCUGGAGUUGUGAUGAAAGACAAAGCCACCUACGCAGGUAUUUUUGACUGAAUAUAUUCUGAUAUUUACAUAACAAGCAUUUUAGUUUUUUGAAAGUGAUGAUUUCACUCUUUUCUCCGUCUUCAGAGAUUCACAGAGACAGCGGCGCCUUCGGAGGUGGAGGACUGUGCUGCUGCUCCGACUCCUGCUGCUCCUGGUGGAAGUGGCUGCUGGGUCUUCUCCUCCUCUCCCUGCUCCUGCUCGGACUCCUGUUUGGGCUCAUUGCACUGGCUGAGGAUGUGAGAAAGCUGAAGAAUCGCGUGGCGACCCUGGAGACCAAGUCCUCCGUCGCUGCUGCUCGUACCGGUCGGCUGGCAGGUUCUGACAAUGACAUCUAUAUGGCCGGUGGAGCUGCUGGAGGAGGUGGACACACUGACAACACGCUACACCUGGGAGCUGGAGGAGGAGGAGGAGGAGGAGACUCCAAAACACGAAUCGCAAUUGCCACUGGGGCAGGUGGUGCAGGUGGCACCGGUAGCAAUGGCAUCGAUGUCAGCAUGGCUGCUGGUGCUGGUGGUGCUGGUGCUGGUACCGCUGGCGCUGGUGGGUCUACUGGGGCCAGAGCUGGAGGUGCUGGCACAGGCAGUGACACCAGUUACAGUGGAACCAGUUACAGUAGCACCAGUUACAGUGAUACCAGUUACAGUGGCAGUGCCGGUAGUGCUGGUGGUACUGGACACAGUGGUGGUGGUGGUUCUGGACACAGGGGCGGUGCCGGCAGUGCUGGAACCAGUUACAGUGGCAGCGUUGGCAGCGCUGGUGGUACCACAGGAUUGGGUGUGAGUGGAGGACACACUGACGCUUCUCUUCAGCUGAUGAUCCAACACAUGUUAAGAAAUGAAAUGCAGUCACAAGCAUUCAGAGGUACUAAUACACACACACACACACACGCGCGCGCGCGCGCGCACACACACACACACAUGCACACACACACACACACACACACACACACACGCACACACACACUACAUUUUCUGAUCUGUUGUUUUCUGUUUCAGCCUUCUUGACAUCCUCAGUGCAGGGAGAGAGAGGGCUGCCUGGACCUAAAGGUGAACUUUAUAGAUUAUUUGUUUCAUAAAAUCUGAACAUUUAAACAUUUUAUUUUAAAGAUAAAAUGAUUUAUAUUUGAUUUAUUAAUUUAUGUUUAUCUCUUUGUUCUUUCAGGGGACACUGGAGCUAAAGGUUUGGAUUUCUCACUCGCGAUUCUGUUGAUCUGCUUUAUUUCUUGAUGUUUGUUUUCUCAUUAUAAUCAAAUGUUUACUUGUCACAGGUGACGCUGGGUUCCCUGGACUUCCAGGUGAGGAAUGAUGAUUGUCAUAACUCAUGAGUCAUUAACAGUGUUUUACAUCUACUCAGGACUAUUAUGUGGCGUCAUGAUGUAAUUUUACUGUGACCUUUGACCUCAGGUGCUCCUGGUGCGAUGGGACCUUCAGGCCAUGAAGGUCCUAAAGGACAGAAAGGAAGCCAAGGUAGAGAAAGUUCAAACUACAUGAUGCAAGUUCACUGUUUGGUGUUUUUAGAUUGAGGUAUUUUAAAUGAAUGUAAAAUGUCUGAUCAGGUGAUCAUGGAGUGGACGGACAGCCUGGUAUCAGAGGUCGUGAAGGCCCAGCUGGCCCCAGAGGUGAGCCGGGACCUUCAGGCGUUGGACCAAAGGGUGACAGAGGUACGUAUCACAUCCCCGGCAGAACAUUUGUGUUUAUUAGUGAUAUUAAUAACUUCUAGUACUUCUAGUUCUGUCGCUGAAGGAUCUCGUGUUUGGUUUAUGCAGGUUCUACUGGUGAUCCGGGGGUUCCUGGGCCUGUGGGACCUGUCGGACUGAAAGGUAAGAUCAUUGUACUUCUUGUCCUUCACUUUGAGUUUUUUCAUGUUUAAAUAGAUAAUGACAAAAACAGGUACUUGUUUAGUGUUUUGACAUCAAAAUACCAAAGUUUGACUUGUCAGUGGAACAGUUUAUGACCUCAUGCAUGAACUAUAAGAAGCAAAAAGGGAAAGAACCUGCUAUUUUAUUGCAAUUUCUAAGAUAAUACAACUUCAGAAUUUUUUUUUGUAUGUCCCAGUAAGUAUUUUCUGUAAAUGUUUUAUUUCAAUGUUUUUAUUUUUUGUCUUUAGGCUGUUAUAAUGUUCUUGUUAAAAAGCAGUUCUCCUUUCUAAUUAUUACUUAUCUUUGCUCAAGGUUCACCUGGAAAUCCUGGACUUCCUGGAGCACCAGGUCAGUUAAUUUCUGCUUGAUUUCACUCAUGUGGAGCGUUAUAGCGGUUCCAGAAACACCUGCUAUUAUCUUGAAUUCACCAUCAGCUGCUUAUAAAAGAGAUUAAGUCAGAGAUAAGAGUGUUUUUUUAUUUUACAUGAUGUGUUUUGUUAUAGGUCAACCAGGUCCUCAAGGUUUCCGUGGCGAGGCAGGGUUACCUGGAGCUAAAGGUAGAUUAUGUGGUCAUUAUUAGGCUGUAAAGUGAAACGCAUCGUUGAUUUGCUUUAUUUUGUGCACCAUAAAGUUUCUCACAGUCGUUCUUCUCACUCUGCAGGUGACAGAGGGCUGGCUGGAUUCCAAGGAGCUAAAGGUUUGUUGUAACUGAAUCAGGUUUUUCUCUGACUUGUGAGGUCGGUGAAUGUUUUAACUGUAGUGUAAUUCAUGUUUAUUCUAGGUGAUCCUGGUCAUGAUGGUGUCAGAGGUAUUAAAGGUCAGUACAGCUCUGUGCAUUUAACCAAAGUAUCUGAAGCUGUCAAACUGGCAUGUUAUAUACUGAGUGCUGUUUUCUAAUCCAGUCAUCUUGUUCCUCAGGUGAAGCCGGAGCACCAGGUCUGCCAGGGCUCGCUGGAGAGAAAGGAUCCAAAGGGUCGAUCGGUGAGUCUGAGUCUCGUCUUCUAAACUCUAAAAGUUCAAUAUUGAUAUGAAGCUACAGCCAGCAGCUGAUUAGCUUAACACAGAGACUGAAAGCUGGGGGGAAGAGUUAGCCUGGUUUUGGCGAAAUGUAGCUCGAAUACACGUUAAAAAUGUUGUAGAAUCAUUUUAAUCAUGUAAUUCCUUUUAAGUCUGUACUUGACUUUUACUUAUUUGAGUUUUCUUUCAGAAAUGUAUUGUAAAUGUUUUGUAAAAAUUAACACAGAAAAGUCAAACUGAUUUGAAGAACAAGC
Long non-coding RNA from Sparus aurata (gilthead seabream), 3943 nucleotides. The record is from Ensembl. NCBI's taxonomy places the organism in Eukaryota, Metazoa, Chordata, Actinopteri, Spariformes, Sparidae.